GCCGGGCAUUGUGGCGAAUGCCUGUCAUCCCAGCAGCUUGGGAGGCUGAGGCAGGGGGAUCGAGAGUUCAAAGCCAGCCUCAGCAAAAAAGCAAGGGGCUAAUCAACUCAGUGACACCCUGUCUCUAAAUAAAAUACAAAGUAGGGCUGGGGAUGUGGCUCAGGGGUCGAGUGCCCCUGAGUUCAAUCCCCUGUAAGGAAAAAAAAAAAAUUGUUGAGGUUGGCUUUGAAUUUGUGAUCCUCCUGCCUCAG
Molecule: small RNA, 251 nt
Filed under: Marmota monax (woodchuck)
Lineage: Eukaryota; Metazoa; Chordata; Mammalia; Rodentia; Sciuridae
Source: RNAcentral